RNAcentral lists this transfer RNA (86 nucleotides) under Syrrhopodon prolifer. RNAcentral describes it as "tRNA-Leu". It matches the Rfam family "tRNA". Rfam says of the family: Transfer RNA (tRNA) molecules are approximately 80 nucleotides in length. The record is from RNAcentral. Lineage: Eukaryota; Viridiplantae; Streptophyta; Bryopsida; Dicranales; Calymperaceae.
GGGGGUAUGGCGGAAUUGGUAGACGCUACGGACUUGAAAAUCCGUUGGUUUUAUUAACCGUGAGGGUUCAAGUCCCUCUACCCCCA